AGCAACAAAUGCCCUGCUUCCAGGAAAAGCCUCUAAGCAUCAGGUAACAUCAAAUCGUACCCCAAACCGACACAGGUGGUCAGGUAGAGAAUACCAAGGCGCUUGAGAGAACUCGGGUGAAGGAACUAGGCAAAAUGGUGCCGUAACUUCGGGAGAAGGCACGCUGACACGUAGGUGAAGUGAUUUACUCAUGGAGCUGAAGUCAGUCGAAGAUACCAGCUGGCUGCAACUGUUUAUUAAAAACACAGCACUGUGCAAACACGAAAGUGGACGUAUACGGUGUGACGCCUGCCCGGUGCCGGAAGGUUAAUUGAUGGGGUCAGCGCAAGCGAAGCUCCUGAUCGAAGCCCCGGUAAACGGCGGCCGUAACUAUAACGGUCCUAAGGUAGCGAAAUUCCUUGUCGGGUAAGUUCCGACCUGCACGAAUGGCGUAAUGAUGGCCAGGCUGUCUCCACCCGAGACUCAGUGAAAUUGAACUCGCUGUGAAGAUGCAGUGUACCCGCGGCAAGACGGAAAGACCCCGUGAACCUUUACUAUAGCUUGACACUGAACAUUGAGCCUUGAUGUGUAGGAUAGGUGGGAGGCUUUGAAGCGUGGACGCCAGUCUGCGUGGAGCCGACCUUGAAAUACCACCCUUUAAUGUUUGAUGUUCUAACGUGGACCCGUAAUCCGGGUUGCGGACAGUGUCUGGUGGGUAGUUUGACUGGGGCGGUCUCCUCCUAAAGAGUAACGGAGGAGCACGAAGGUUGGCUAAUCCUGGUCGGACAUCAGGAGGUUAGUGCAAUGGCAUAAGCCAGCUUGACUGCGAGCGUGACGGCGCGAGCAGGUGCGAAAGCAGGUCAUAGUGAUCCGGUGGUUCUGAAUGGAAGGGCCAUCGCUCAACGGAUAAAAGGUACUCCGGGGAUAACAGGCUGAUACCGCCCAAGAGUUCAUAUCGACGGCGGUGUUUGGCACCUCGAUGUCGGCUCAUCACAUCCUGGGGCUGAAGUAGGUCCCAAGGGUAUGGCUGUUCGCCAUUUAAAGUGGUACGCGAGCUGGGUUUAGAACGUCGUGAGACAGUUCGGUCCCUAUCUGCCGUGGGCGCUGGAAGACUGAGGGGGGCUGCUCCUAGUACGAGAGGACCGGAGUGGACGCAUCACUGGUGUUCGGGUUGUCAUGCCAAUGGCACUGCCCGGUAGCUAAAUGCGGAAAAGAUAAGUGCUGAAAGCAUCUAAGCACGAAACUUGCCCCGAGAUGAGUCUUCCCUGAGAUUUUGAGUCUCCUGAAGGAACGUUAAAGACGAUGACGUUGAUAGGCCGGGUGUGUAAGCGCAGCGAUGCGCUGAGCUAACCGGUACUAAUGAACCGUGAGGCUUAACCUU
This 1360-nucleotide ribosomal RNA is filed under the name Salmonella enterica. RNAcentral describes it as "partial 23S ribosomal RNA". It matches the Rfam family "Bacterial large subunit ribosomal RNA", at positions 1589 to 2925 of the family's 2925-position model. Lineage: Bacteria; Pseudomonadati; Pseudomonadota; Gammaproteobacteria; Enterobacterales; Enterobacteriaceae. The record is from RNAcentral.